Long non-coding RNA from Xyrauchen texanus (razorback sucker), 2039 nucleotides. RefSeq lists it as uncharacterized. Lineage: Eukaryota; Metazoa; Chordata; Actinopteri; Cypriniformes; Catostomidae. The transcript is spliced from 3 exons. The record is from RefSeq and is a predicted model, not a curated record.
UCUUCCUCUGAUCUGCUGCAUGUUGUUAUUCUGUAUCAUUACAGUCACAUAUAAUGUUGCACAAUGGCAGUUUCAAGUGCACAGAUCAUCAAACAUUAUUCAACAUAUUUUGGUCUCACAGCUCCAGUAAUUAUGCAAAUUCUUCUUAAUAACGAGGAUCUACAUGCUGGUUUGGAAAACAGCUGUUGCACCAUUGAACAAUAAUGUACAACGUUAAGACAACGUUAUCAGGAAACUCAACACAAGACUGAAAUACACUGAAAGAUCAUUGAUGAUAGUGUUGUUCCUUUAAAAUAAUAAUGAAAAAACAUGAUAAUUAUUUAUAAAAAUAUCCCCAAUAUGAGGAAAAUGCUUUAGAAUAUUACAUUGAGUUGAUCUGACCAACACUUUUAGUGUAGAUAAAAACAUUUAACAAACGCUUGUCUUUUGUCCCUCAUAUAAAACUGAAGUUUUGGUGAAGAUGUAACACAAGGUGAAGAUGAGUGUCACACUUUAGACCUGUAACUACUUUCACUCGUGUUUAUAAUCCAUCAACAAUAGAAGAUAAUAUACAUGAGAUGUUAAAAUGACCAACUAAAGACUGAGAAAUCAAAAUAAUGCACAAAAAUCUUUAAAAUGAUCUUAUAAACGGCACACAACAUGACAAUUCAAAAUUACUUAGAAAAUAGAAAAAUAUUGUAAAUAUAUCAGUAAAAAUGUGUUUAGUAAAAUAUGGUAAAGCUUUAUCUAAGACUAUAUUAUUGGCAGCUGAAAUAUUCUUCUCAUCUUCACUUGUGUUUUUCAGCACAAAGAAAGUCGUACACAUCUGGGAUGCAUGAGAAUGAAUAAAAUGUCAAUAUUAGGUGAACUAUCCCUUUAAACUUGGACUCAAAGUGAAUAAAAACAAGGUGGCACAGUUGUUCUAAUUUGAUCUGAGGUGAUACUUGGCUUGAAAAGUUUGAGACCCAUCAAUCUUAUCCUUCAUUAUCUGCUGGGAAGACUACAAGACUACAGCGCAUCAACCUCCAUGUUAUAAUUUAUUCGUGCAUCUCUCAUCUUCGUACAUUCUGUCUGCUACUGAAGAGACAAUAUAUUUGUCAGUUUAAUGCUGCUUCUAUGCACAGUAAAAAUCACACUUUAUGACCAAAUGUAACCGUAAUAUUAUUGGCCGAGUGUCGUAAGAGCUUAUAAUAACGUCGCAGGGGCGUCCAGUAUGCCAGUGCUGGUGCUCAUGUAGUGUAGGUGUCAUAAUGUCUCAGAUUCACUAUUCCCCAUUGUUUCCUGUAAUCGACUCAUUCACUCCGUCAUUCUGAUGAGGUGGUGGAUUCACUCCGUUACUCAGAGGAAUCAACUCGUUCACUCCGUCAUUCUGAUGAGGUGGUGGAUUCACUCCGUCAUUCUGAUGAGGUAGUGGAUUCACUCUGUCAUUCUGAUGAGGUGGUGGAUUCACUCCGUCAUUCUGAUGAGGUAGUGGAUUCACUCUGUCAUUCUGAUGAGGUGGUGGAUUCACUCUGUCAUUCUGAUGAGGUAGUGGAUUCACUCUGUCAUUCUGAUGAGGUGGUGGAUUCACUCCGUCAUUCUGAUGAGGUAGUGGAUUCACUCCGUCAUUCUGAUGAGGUAGUGGAUUCACUCCGUCAUUCUGAUGAGGUAGUGGAUUCACUCUGUCAUUCUGAUGAGGUAGUGGAUUCACUCUGUCAUUCUGAUGAGGUGGUGGAUUCACUCCGUCAUUCUGAUGAGGUGGUGGAUUCACUCCGUCAUUCUGAUGAGGUGGUGGAUUCACUCCGUCAUUCUGAUGAGGUGGUGGAUUCACUCUGUCAUUCUGAUGAGGUGGUGGAUUCACUCCGUCAUUCUGAUGAGGUGGUGGAUUCACUCCGUCAUUCUGAUGAGGUGGUGGAUUCACUCCGUCAUUCUGAUGAGGUGGUGGAUUCACUCCGUCAUUCUGAUGAGGUGGUGGAUUCACUCUGUCAUUCUGAUGAGGUGGUGGAUUCACUCCGUCAUUCUGAUGAGGUGGUGGAUUCACUCCGUCAUUCUGAUGAGGUGGUGGAUUCACUCUGUCAUUC